Molecule: ribosomal RNA, 492 nt
Filed under: uncultured bacterium
Lineage: Bacteria
Description: partial 16S ribosomal RNA
Rfam family: Bacterial small subunit ribosomal RNA
Source: RNAcentral
AGUGAACGCUGGCGGUAGGCCUAACACAUGCAAGUCGAACGGCAGCACAGUAAGAGCUUGCUCUUACGGGUGGCGAGUGGCGGACGGGUGAGGAAUACAUCGGAAUCUACUUUUUCGUGGGGGAUAACGUAGGGAAACUUACGCUAAUACCGCAUACGACCUACGGGUGAAAGCAGGGGAUCUUCGGACCUUGCGCGAUUGAAUGAGCCGAUGUCGGAUUAGCUAGUUGGCGGGGUAAAGGCCCACCAAGGCGACGAUCCGUAGCUGGUCUGAGAGGAUGAUCAGCCACACUGGAACUGAGACACGGCCCAGACUCCUACGGGAGGCAGCAGUGGGGAAUAUUGGACAAUGGGCGAAAGCCUGAUCCAGCCAUACCGCGUGGGUGAAGAAGGCCUUCGGGUUGUAAAGCCCUUUUGUUGGGAAAGAAAAGCAGCAGGUUAAUACCCCGAUGUUCUGACGGUACCCAAAGAAUAAGCACCGGCUAACUUCGUG